AGUAAUGACGUGUUCUUGGAAUGGAGACUUGAGGGAUGACUCAAAGUCUCAAACUAGGCUGGAGGAUGGUACGCCGAAAUUGGGGGUCGUCGUCACCGAACUUCGAUUCAGUGCUGACUGCUGAGCGAGCAAGACUCGCCGUUGCCAAACUCCCGAUCCAACCGCUGAGCAGAGCAGAGAAGAUCGGCAGGUCAGGUCUAGUCGCCCAGGUUUGGGGUCGUCGUAGGUUGACUUGUGUCUCAGCUGAAAGCCAGAGAUCGACAGAACAGUGAGUAGACUGGUUGAGUGGAGACUGAGAGAGAGGGAUUUACGGCUUUACUUCUCUAAUCUCUCAAAACAACCCUCUAAAUUGAAUAAAUU
Molecule: long non-coding RNA, 360 nt
Filed under: Linum usitatissimum (flax)
Lineage: Eukaryota; Viridiplantae; Streptophyta; Magnoliopsida; Malpighiales; Linaceae
Description: long non-coding RNA (LUSI_LNC005565)
Source: RNAcentral